This 85-nucleotide transfer RNA is filed under the name Musa acuminata subsp. malaccensis (wild Malaysian banana). It matches the Rfam family "tRNA". Rfam says of the family: Transfer RNA (tRNA) molecules are approximately 80 nucleotides in length. Their secondary structure includes four short double-helical elements and three loops (D, anti-codon, and T loops). Further hydrogen bonds mediate the characteristic L-shaped molecular structure. tRNAs have two regions of fundamental functional importance: the anti-codon, which is responsible for specific mRNA codon recognition, and the 3' end, to which the tRNAs corresponding amino acid is attached (by aminoacyl-tRNA synthetases). tRNAs cope with the degeneracy of the genetic code in two manners: having more than one tRNA (with a specific anti-codon) for a particular amino acid; and 'wobble' base-pairing, i.e. permitting non-standard base-pairing at the 3rd anti-codon position. Lineage: Eukaryota; Viridiplantae; Streptophyta; Magnoliopsida; Zingiberales; Musaceae. The record is from Rfam by way of RNAcentral.
CCGACCUUAGCUCAGUUGGCAGAGCGGAGUACUGUAGUCGUUCAGAUAAAUCCUUAGGUCGCUGGUUCGAAUCCGGCAGGUCGGA